This 253-nucleotide ribosomal RNA is filed under the name uncultured bacterium. RNAcentral's name for it is "partial 16S ribosomal RNA". It matches the Rfam family "Bacterial small subunit ribosomal RNA", at positions 524 to 776 of the family's 1533-position model. The record is from RNAcentral.
UACGGAGGGUGCGAGCGUUGUCCGGAAUCACUGGGCGUAAAGGGCGCGUAGGUGGCGGAGCAAGUCAACGGUGAAAGCUCGACGCUUAACGUCGAGUCGGCCGUCGAUACUGCUUUGCUCGAGCACUGUAGAGGCAGAUGGAAUUCCUGGUGUAGCGGUGAAAUGCGUAGAUAUCAGGAGGAACACCGAUGGCGAAGGCAGCUGCCUGGCCUAGAACUGACGCUGAGGUGCGAAAGCGUGGGGAGCGAACAGG